Molecule: ribosomal RNA, 253 nt
Filed under: uncultured bacterium
Lineage: Bacteria
Description: partial 16S ribosomal RNA
Rfam family: Bacterial small subunit ribosomal RNA
Source: RNAcentral
UACAGAGGUCUCAAGCGUUGUUCGGAUUCAUUGGGCGUAAAGGGCGCGUAGGCGGUAGCACAAGUCAGUUGUGAAAUCUCCGGGCUUAACUCGGAAAGGUCAACUGAUACUGUGCGACUAGAGUGCAGAAGGGGCAACUGGAAUUCUCGGUGUAGCGGUGAAAUGCGUAGAUAUCGAGAGGAACACCUGCGGCGAAGGCGGGUUGCUGGGCUGACACUGACGCUGAGGCGCGAAAGCCAGGGGAGCGAACGGG